Molecule: long non-coding RNA, 1094 nt
Organism: Gasterosteus aculeatus aculeatus (three-spined stickleback)
Lineage: Eukaryota; Metazoa; Chordata; Actinopteri; Perciformes; Gasterosteidae
Source: RefSeq, a predicted model, not a curated record
GAGCAGACUCGCGCGGACCCUCUGUCUCUCUCACAAGGGCCCGAUGUCCACGCAGAGGAGGAGCCGUGUGGGACAAUUGGUUGGGACCUUUAAGUGGAGGACAUUUCUCCCCAGAGUCCGCUUUGCCUACGGAAGAGAUCCCGUCAGCAUGGCGUCGGGCUUCAUCGGAGCGCGAGAGGGGGUCUGUUUCUGUCUUUGGUUAUCUAGCUGUAUGAGUUUUAAAUGCCUGUCAUAAAGCUAGAUAACCGAAAGUAGAAAUGACUCCCGGAACGUUGUGUUCAUCCCCGAAAGACGCGGGACUCCUCGAGCUUCCAACUGGGAAAAAGGCUUCCAAUAUACGACAUUGAAUGAUCGUGGAUCCCUGAAAAGAGGCUCGAGCCAUCGUUGAAAGAAAAGGAAGCGAGAGCUGAGGGGAAAACGGUCGGUCCGGAAUUGCUACCUCCUCCUCCUCCUCCACCCCCAUUAGUCGUCCUUUUUGCCCAAGAGCCUCUAAUGCCAUCUGUGCUGCCAACGGGGGUUGGAGGGGAGGGGGCGGAUUCUGCCCGUGCCAGGACGCGGACAAAGACCCUUCCGGAUCCCCGGAGCACGGGCACGCUCAGAGGAGCCAUCUUGGGGAGAUGUUGCCGCGACACCUAAAAUGGCAGGCUGGCACACCGAGGACGGGGAACAGGAUCGGCCUCUCUGCGCUCUGAAGGAACCUGCUUGGGCGCGAGGACAUGGACCAAACUCAACGAAAUACUGUCUUCAGAAAGUCUCAACAGAGAUCAUCAGUCACCUAAACGAGGAGAGCAGCCCUGUGUGGCAAAGGACAUGUAGAAAGAAAAGAGCUACUGUACAAGCUGGAAAUGUGCCUGUUAUCCAUGUUCAUGAUAUUGUAUUAAUGUGUGUGAUACAUAUACAUUAUUUUAAAAAUUGCAGAAAACUUGUUCUCACCGAUAUAUCUAAAGUGCAUCUACAUGUUUUAAUUAAUAAUUUAUGAAACUGCUGUUCUCAUAUGUCUGAAUUGAAAUAGGAAUUUAUAAGACUGGAGUGCAUUACUGAAAAAGCUGAUUGUAUUUCUUCUUUGAAUUAAAUCGAUAAUGAAAAUAUUUUCA